This 551-nucleotide ribosomal RNA is filed under the name Bacillus cereus. RNAcentral's name for it is "bacterial SSU rRNA". It matches the Rfam family "Bacterial small subunit ribosomal RNA", at positions 74 to 608 of the family's 1533-position model. Lineage: Bacteria; Bacillati; Bacillota; Bacilli; Caryophanales; Bacillaceae. The record is from RNAcentral.
AAGAGCUUGCUCUUAUGAAGUUAGCGCCCUUUGGGUGAGUAACACGUGGGUAACCUGCCCAUAAGACUGGGAUAACUCCGGGAAACCGGGGCUAAUACCGGAUAACAUUUUGAACCGCAUGGUUCGAAAUUGAAAGGCGGCUUCGGCUGUCACUUAUGGAUGGACCCGCGUCGCAUUAGCUAGUUGGUGAGGUAACGGCUCACCAAGGCAACGAUGCGUAGCCGACCUGAGAGGGUGAUCGGCCACACUGGGACUGAGACACGGCCCAGACUCCUACGGGAGGCAGCAGUAGGGAAUCUUCCGCAAUGGACGAAAGUCUGACGGAGCAACGCCGCGUGAGUGAUGAAGGCUUUCGGGUCGUAAAACUCUGUUGUUAGGGAAGAACAAGUGCUAGUUGAAUAAGCUGGCACCUUGACGGUACCUAACCAGAAAGCCACGGCUAACUACGUGCCAGCAGCCGCGGUAAUACGUAGGUGGCAAGCGUUAUCCGGAAUUAUUGGGCGUAAAGCGCGCGCAGGUGGUUUCUUAAGUCUGAUGUGAAAGCCCACGGC